Molecule: ribosomal RNA, 389 nt
Filed under: uncultured bacterium
Lineage: Bacteria
Description: bacterial SSU rRNA
Rfam family: Bacterial small subunit ribosomal RNA
Source: RNAcentral
AACGAACGCUGGCGGCGCGCCUAACACAUGCAAGUCGAACGCGAAAGUGUAGCAAUACAUGAGUAAAGUGGCGCACGGGUGAGUAACGCGUAGGUGAUCUACCCUUGCGAUCGGGAUAACCAGCCGAAAGGUUGGCUAAUACUGGAUAGAGCGCAUUGAACGUAAAGUUUGGUGCGGGAAAUGAGGGCGUAGCAAUACGCUCUUGCGCUGGGAUGAGCCNGCGUCUCAUUAGCUAGUUGGUAGGGUAAUGGCCUACCAAGGCAUUGAUGGGUAGCUGGUCUGAGAGGACGAUCAGCCACACUGGAACUGAAACACGGUCCAGACUCCUACGGGAGGCAGCAGUGGGGAAUCUUGCGCAAUGACGAAAGUCUGACGCAGCGACGCCGCGU